This 166-nucleotide non-coding RNA is filed under the name Bacillus sp. (in: firmicutes). RNAcentral's name for it is "Bacillus sp. SAM-I sequence". It matches the Rfam family "SAM riboswitch aptamer (S box leader)". Rfam says of the family: The SAM riboswitch is found upstream of a number of genes which code for proteins involved in methionine or cysteine biosynthesis in Gram-positive bacteria. The SAM riboswitch acts at the level of transcription termination control. The record is from RNAcentral. Lineage: Bacteria; Bacillati; Bacillota; Bacilli; Caryophanales; Bacillaceae.
CUCUUAUUCCGAGCUGGUGGAGGGACAGGCCCUAUGAAACCCAGCAACCUGCUCAAAGGAUGAGCGAGCGCAAAAAGCACGCCGCUUUUUUUAUUUUUAGACCAGAUAUGGUCGCUUGAGAAAAGGUGCUAAACCUGAGCAAGGCUCUGACCUUGACCGAUAAGAG